GUCAGUAUGGCCGAGUGGUUAAGGCGACAGACUUGAAUCAUACGAGUCAUCUGUUGGGCAUCGCCCGCGCAGGUUCAAAUCCUGCUGCUGACG
Molecule: non-coding RNA, 93 nt
Organism: Coemansia sp. RSA 2399
Lineage: Eukaryota; Fungi; Kickxellomycota; Kickxellomycetes; Kickxellales; Kickxellaceae
Source: the annotation of a GenBank genome assembly